Molecule: unclassified non-coding RNA, 207 nt
Filed under: Paraglomerales sp.
Lineage: Eukaryota; Fungi; Glomeromycota; Glomeromycetes; Paraglomerales
Description: partial contains 5.8S ribosomal RNA and internal transcribed spacer 2
Rfam family: 5.8S ribosomal RNA (bases 1-65)
Source: RNAcentral
GUGAAUCAUCGAAUUUUUGAACGCAAAUUGCGCCUUUUUCUGAAGGCAUGUCUGUUUGAGGGCACCAUUUAACAAAUAAUGUGCAGCGUUUUUUGUUGCACACGUUGAUGAGCUUUCCAAGAAUUUUAAAUUUUUGGUGGCGCAUAAUGAACAGCGUGAAAGUUUUUUUAAGUCGCGGUGAAUAAAAAUUUUUCUUUGGUUUGUCAA